This 494-nucleotide ribosomal RNA is filed under the name uncultured bacterium. RNAcentral describes it as "partial 16S ribosomal RNA". It matches the Rfam family "Bacterial small subunit ribosomal RNA", at positions 28 to 507 of the family's 1533-position model. The record is from RNAcentral.
GACGAACGCUGGCGGCGUGCUUAACACAUGCAAGUCGAACGGUGAAGCGCCUUCCUUUUUGGUGGGUGUGGAUGAGUGGCGAACGGGUGAGUAACACGUGAGUAACCUGCCCCCUUCUUCUGGAUAACCGCAUGAAAGUGUGGCUAAUACGGGAUAUUCUGGGUCUGUCGCAUGAUGGGUCUGGGAAAGAUAUUGUUUCGGGGGGGGAUGGGUUCGCGGCCUAUCAGGUUGUUGGUGGGGUGAUGGCCUAGCAAGGCGGUGACGGGUAGCCGGCCUGAGAGGAUGGACGGUCACACUGGGACUGAGACACGGCCCAGACUCCUACGGGAGGCAGCAGUGGGGAAUAUUGCACAAUGGGCGCAAGCCUGAUGCAGCGACGCCGCGUGAGGGAUGGAGGCCUUCGGGUUGUGAACCUCUUUCGCCAGUGAAGCAGGCCUGCCUCGUUUGUGGGUGGGUUGACGGUAGCUGGAUAAGAAGCGCCGGCUAACUACGUG